This 198-nucleotide ribosomal RNA is filed under the name uncultured bacterium. RNAcentral's name for it is "partial 16S ribosomal RNA". It matches the Rfam family "Bacterial small subunit ribosomal RNA", at positions 328 to 539 of the family's 1533-position model. The record is from RNAcentral.
ACGCUCGACACCUACGGGAGGUAGCAGUGGGGAAUAUUGCACAAUGGGGGAAACCCUGAUGCAGCGACGCCGCGUGAGCGAAGAAGUAUCUCGGUAUGUAAAGCUCUAUCAGCAGGGAAGAAAAUGACGGUACCUGACUAAGAAGCCCCGGCUAACUACGUGCCAGCAGCCACGGUAAUCUGAGCGGGCUGGCAAGGC